AAACUUAAAAAUAUUGGAGAACACUGCUGCUGGGAAACACAAGAGAAACAGUCAUUAAUGGUGGUACCAUCACCUUAUGUAAGGGGACAGGAGAACGGGAGUCAGUUGUUGACACAGCACAUGAGGAGACUGCUACAAGCAUUUAACAUCUGGAAACUCAGAAUGUUCAAUAUCUCAGAGUGUGAAACUCUCUCUCAUGUGAAAAAAUUACCUCACCCCAAAUGCUUGUGGUUCACCAAUUAAGAAAUUCAACCCUC
Molecule: long non-coding RNA, 257 nt
Filed under: Homo sapiens (human)
Lineage: Eukaryota; Metazoa; Chordata; Mammalia; Primates; Hominidae
Description: HSALNT0023183
Source: RNAcentral